AUACGGAGGGUGCAAGCGUUACUGGGAAUCACUGGGCGUAAAGCGCGCGCAGGCGGGCUGAUAAGUUGGAUGUGAAAGCCUACGGCUCAACCGUAGAACUGCAUCCAAAACUGUCAGUCUAGAGUCUGGGAGGGGAAGAUGGAAUUAGUUGUGUAGGGGUAAAAUCCGUAGAGAUAACUAGGAAUACCAAAAGCGCAGGCGAUCUUCUGGAACAGUACUGACGCUGAGGCGCGAAAGCGUGGGGAGCAAACAGGAUUAGAAACCCCGGUAGUCC
This 274-nucleotide ribosomal RNA is filed under the name uncultured bacterium. Its description in RNAcentral is "partial 16S ribosomal RNA". It matches the Rfam family "Bacterial small subunit ribosomal RNA", at positions 523 to 796 of the family's 1533-position model. The record is from RNAcentral.